AUUGAACGCUGGCGGCAUGCCUUACACAUGCAAGUCGAACGGCAGCACGGGAGCAAUCCUGGUGGCGAGUGGCGAACGGGUGAGUAAAGUAUCGGAACGUGCCCAGUCGUGGGGGAUAACGUAGCGAAAGUUACGCUAAUACAGCAUACGAUCUAUGGAUGAAAGCGGGGGAUCGCAAGACCUCGCGCGAUUGGAGCGGCCGGUGUCAGAUUAGGUAGUUGGUGGGGGAAAGGCUCACCAAGCCGACGAUCGGUAGCUGGUCUGAGAGGACGACCAGCCCCACUGGGACUGGGACACUGCCCAGACUCCUACGGGAGGCAGCAGUGGGGAAUUUUGGACAAUGGGCGAAAGCCUGAUCCAGCCAUGCCGCGUGAAGGAUGAAGGCCUUCGGGUUGUAAACUGCUUUUGUACGGAACGAAAAGGUUUGGCCUAAUAAGCUGAGCUCAUGACGGUACCGUAAGAAUAAGCACCGGCUAACUACGUGCCAGCAGCCGCCGUAA
RNAcentral lists this ribosomal RNA (500 nucleotides) under uncultured bacterium. RNAcentral's name for it is "partial 16S ribosomal RNA". It matches the Rfam family "Bacterial small subunit ribosomal RNA", at positions 30 to 523 of the family's 1533-position model. The record is from RNAcentral.